Molecule: ribosomal RNA, 1354 nt
Filed under: uncultured bacterium
Lineage: Bacteria
Description: bacterial SSU rRNA
Rfam family: Bacterial small subunit ribosomal RNA
Source: RNAcentral
GAUUGAACGCUGGCGGAAUGCUUUACACAUGCAAGUCGAACGAUGAACCUUAGCUUGCUAAGGGGAUUAGUGGCGAACGGGUGAGUAAUAUAUCGGAACGUGCCUUGUAAUGGGGGAUAACUAGUCGAAAGAUUAGCUAAUACCGCAUACGCCCUGAGGGGGAAAGUAGGGGAUCUUCGGACCUUACGUUAUAAGAGCGGCCGAUAUCUGAUUAGCUAGUUGGUGGGGUAAUGGCCUACCAAGGCGACGACGGGUAGCCGGCCUGAGAGGGUGACCGGCCACACUGGGACUGAGACACGGCCCAGACUCCUACGGGAGGCAGCAGUGGGGAAUAUUGCACAAUGGGCGAAAGCCUGAUGCAGCGACGCCGCGUGAGGGAUGACGGCCUUCGGGUUGUAAACCUCUUUCAGUAGGGAAGAAGCGAAAGUGACGGUACCUGCAGAAGAAGCGCCGGCUAACUACGUGCCAGCAGCCGCGGUAAUACGUAGGGCGCAAGCGUUGUCCGGAAUUAUUGGGCGUAAAGAGCUCGUAGGCGGUUUGUCGCGUCUGCUGUGAAAUCGUGAGGCUCAACCUCACGCCUGCAGUGGGUACGGGCAGACUAGAGUGUGGUAGGGGAGACUGGAAUUCCUGGUGUAGCGGUGGAAUGCGCAGAUAUCAGGAGGAACACCGAUGGCGAAGGCAGGUCUCUGGGCCACUACUGACGCUGAGGAGCGAAAGCAUGGGUAGCGAACAGGAUUAGAUACCCUGGUAGUCCAUGCCGUAAACGUUGGGCACUAGGUGUGGGGUCAGUUCCACUGGUUCCGUGCCGCAGCAAACGCAUUAAGUGCCCCGCCUGGGGAGUACGGCCGCAAGGCUAAAACUCAAAGGAAUUGACGGGGGCCCGCACAAGCGGCGGAGCAUGCGGAUUAAUUCGAUGCAACGCGAAGAACCUUACCAAGGCUUGACAUAUAGAGGAACGCACUAGAGAUAGUGUUCUCUUUGGACACUUCUAUACAGGUGGUGCAUGGUUGUCGUCAGCUCGUGUCGUGAGAUGUUGGGUUAAGUCCCGCAACGAGCGCAACCCUUGCCCUAUGUUGCCAGCACGUGAUGGUGGGGACUCAUAGGAGACUGCCGGGGUCAACUCGGAGGAAGGUGGGGAUGAGGUCAAAUCAUCAUGCCCCUUAUGUCUUGGGCUUCACGCAUGCUACAAUGGCCGGUACAAAGGGCUGCGAUACCGUAAGGUGGAGCGAAUCCCAAAAAGCCGGUCUCAGUUCGGAUUGGGGUCUGCAACUCGACCCCAUGAAGUCGGAGUCGCUAGUAAUCGCAGAUCAGCAACGCUGCGGUGAAUACGUUCUCGGGCCUUGUACACACCGCC